RNAcentral lists this small nuclear RNA (302 nucleotides) under Erinaceus europaeus (western European hedgehog). Its description in RNAcentral is "7SK RNA". It matches the Rfam family "7SK RNA". Rfam says of the family: 7SK was discovered as an abundant small nuclear RNA in the mid-70s but a possible function has only recently been suggested. Two independent studies have found that 7SK RNA binds the CDK9/cyclin T complex (known as elongation factor P-TEFb). P-TEFb activates transcription by phosphorylating the C-terminal domain of RNA polymerase II. The record is from Rfam by way of RNAcentral. Lineage: Eukaryota; Metazoa; Chordata; Mammalia; Eulipotyphla; Erinaceidae.
GGAUGAGAGUGUGAUCUGGCUGUGACAUCUGUCACCCCAUUGAUCGCCAGGCUUGAUUCUGCUGAUCUAGCUGGCUAGGCAGGUGUCCUCUUCCUCCCUCACUGCUUCAUGCUGCACACUUGGUCAAAGAAGAUGCUUUCCCUGAAUGGAGAAGACCAGUCUUUGGUAGAGUAGCUACGCUUCCGUACUAGAACCUCCAAACAAGCUCUCAAGAUCCAUUUGUAGGAGAAUGUGGGGUAAUCAAGCUUCCAAUACUACAGAUACAUCCAAAUGUGGUGCUGCAAGUGGCAGUCUGCCUAUCU